CACGUAGGGUGCGAGCGUUGUCCGGAAUUAUUGGGCGUAAAGAGCUCGUAGGCGGUGUGUCGCGUCGGCCGUGAAAACCUGCAGCUUAACUGUGGGCUUGCGGUCGAUACGGGCAUCACUGGAGUUCGGCAGGGGAGACUGGAAUUCCUGGUGUAGCGGUGAAAUGCGUAGAUAUCGUUUGGAACGCCAAUGGUGAAAACAGACAGCUGGGAGUGUGCUGACGCUGAGACACGAAAGCCAGGGGAGCGAACGGG
RNAcentral lists this ribosomal RNA (254 nucleotides) under uncultured bacterium. RNAcentral's name for it is "partial 16S ribosomal RNA". It matches the Rfam family "Bacterial small subunit ribosomal RNA", at positions 524 to 776 of the family's 1533-position model. The record is from RNAcentral.